RNAcentral lists this ribosomal RNA (366 nucleotides) under Actinomyces naeslundii. RNAcentral's name for it is "bacterial SSU rRNA". It matches the Rfam family "Bacterial small subunit ribosomal RNA", at positions 28 to 371 of the family's 1533-position model. Lineage: Bacteria; Bacillati; Actinomycetota; Actinomycetes; Actinomycetales; Actinomycetaceae. The record is from RNAcentral.
GACGAACGCUGGCGGCGUGCUUAACACAUGCAAGUCGAACGGUGAAGGGGCCUGCUUUUGUGGGUCCUGGAUGAGUGGCGAACGGGUGAGUAACACGUGAGUAACCUGCCCCCUUCUUCUGGAUAACCGCAUGAAAGUGUGGCUAAUACGGGAUAUUCUGGGUCUGUCGCAUGGUGGGCCUGGGAAAGAUUGCGCCUUUUUUGGUGUUUUUGGUGGGGGAUGGGCUCGCGGCCUAUCAGCUUGUUGGUGGGGUGAUGGCCUACCAAGGCGGUGACGGGUAGCCGGCCUGAGAGGGUGGACGGUCACACUGGGACUGAGACACGGCCCAGACUCCUACGGGAGGCAGCAGUGGGGAAUAUUGCACAA